Callorhinchus milii (elephant shark) is the source of this 557-nucleotide long non-coding RNA. RefSeq lists it as uncharacterized. NCBI's taxonomy places the organism in Eukaryota, Metazoa, Chordata, Chondrichthyes, Chimaeriformes, Callorhinchidae. The record is from RefSeq and is a predicted model, not a curated record. The transcript is spliced from 3 exons.
AGUCUCUAGACAGCAAACAGGAGUAGGAACCUUCAGCUCAACCCCAGAAGCACUGAGGCUCCCCCAACAUUUAUCCCCCAACAGAUCAACUUGAAGAUCCUUGUUUUUGCCUUCAAGUGCCUCUAUGGCCUUGCAUCACCCUAUUUGUGCACUCUCCUGUGACCCUAUUCCGCCUGACCCAGCCACUCUUCAUACAGCCAACUCCAGUCGGCUUCUUGCUCCCCAGUGGGCUGGCCUUCAGUCACAUUCUCCCCCUCACUCCUCUGGAAUUCUCUCCUGAAUCCCAAUUCCUAACCAUUUCUUUCAAAUCCCACCCUCACGGAUCAGCAUCGACAGGGACUCAAGCCUGCAACCUGUCUGCCUGUAUAAUUUGAGUGCUGCAUCGGACAGUUCAGUUAUCGUUUAAAUCUUUGGGGCCCUCACAGACACAUGUGGAUACCCAUCACCAUGCUUAAGAGUAUGCAAACCAGUCUGAAAUAUCCCUGUGUCUUGAAUGGAACGUACCCUGUCUCCCUGGAUGGACACACCCCGCUUACCUAAUUCCGGAGAGCUUCAUG